WGUAGGUGAACUGCGGAAGGAUCAUUA
RNAcentral lists this ribosomal RNA (27 nucleotides) under Sticta aff. tainorum. RNAcentral's name for it is "partial small subunit ribosomal RNA". Lineage: Eukaryota; Fungi; Ascomycota; Lecanoromycetes; Peltigerales; Lobariaceae. The record is from RNAcentral.